RNAcentral lists this non-coding RNA (29 nucleotides) under Mus musculus (house mouse). The record is from RNAcentral. Lineage: Eukaryota; Metazoa; Chordata; Mammalia; Rodentia; Muridae. RNAcentral also lists the same sequence under 1 other name.
UCUGAAGACAAAAAGCUUUGGACAGGCGA